UGGGGAAUAUUGGACAAUGGGGGAAACCCUGAUCCAGCAAUGCCGCGUGUGUGAAGAAGGUUUUCGGAUUGUAAAGCACUUUCGGCGGGGACGAUGAUGACGGUACCCGCAGAAGAAGCCCCGGCUAACUUCGUGCCAGCAGCCGCGGUAAUACGAAGGGGGCUAGCGUUACUCGGAAUGACUGGGCGUAAAGGGCGUGUAGGCGGUUUGUACAGUCAGAUGUGAAAUCCCCGGGCUUAACCUGGGAGCUGCAUUUGAUACGUGCAGACUAGAGUAUGAGAGAGGGUUGUGGAAUUCUCAGUGUAGAGGUGAAAUUCGUAGAUAUUGGGAAGAACACCGGUGGCGAAGGCGGCAACCUGGCUCAUUACUGACGCUGAGGCGCGAAAGCGUGGGGAGCAAACA
RNAcentral lists this ribosomal RNA (402 nucleotides) under uncultured bacterium. RNAcentral's name for it is "bacterial SSU rRNA". It matches the Rfam family "Bacterial small subunit ribosomal RNA", at positions 355 to 774 of the family's 1533-position model. The record is from RNAcentral.